UUGACUCUCAAAUGAGAAUCGUUAUGAUUAUCACAGCUGGUCGCGAGAUCAGCCGAUAACUGGAAGACCAUUGGUUCGGACUCUCAGAUUAUCUCCUCAUCAGGCUAAUCACGGUUAUUUGACCCGGCUCUUGCCGGGUCUUUUUUUG
RNAcentral lists this small RNA (148 nucleotides) under Pseudomonas libanensis. Its description in RNAcentral is "PrrF RNA". It matches the Rfam family "PrrF RNA". From Rfam's summary of the family: PrrF RNA is a small RNA involved in iron homeostasis and is found exclusively in Pseudomonas species. Lineage: Bacteria; Pseudomonadati; Pseudomonadota; Gammaproteobacteria; Pseudomonadales; Pseudomonadaceae. The record is from RNAcentral.